RNAcentral lists this transfer RNA (71 nucleotides) under Candidatus Woesearchaeota archaeon. Its description in RNAcentral is "tRNA-Gly". It matches the Rfam family "tRNA". From Rfam's summary of the family: Transfer RNA (tRNA) molecules are approximately 80 nucleotides in length. The record is from RNAcentral. Lineage: Archaea; Nanobdellati; Candidatus Woesearchaeota. RNAcentral also lists the same sequence under 1 other name.
GCGGUGGUAGUUUAGUGGUAGAAUCGUACCCUGCCACGGUAUGGACCCGGGUCCGAAUCCCGGCCACCGCA